GCACACACACACACACACACACACACACACGUUAUCAGUCCAGUUCACAGCUCUGACAUGUUCACAUUAGGGCUGAAAUAAUUAAUUGGAUUAAUCUUCAUUAAUCGAUUAUUGAAAUAAUGGUCAACUAAUUUAGAAAUCAAAUAAUCAUUAAGUGGAGAAUACCGACUCUAAAUCAGACUGUUUGCUGAGAACAACCCACUCUGAGCAGUAAUUAGGCCAAAGCUGUACAAACAUUAUAUACUUUUAGCAUUUAAGAUGAAAAACCUUCCUUGUCUGCAAAUAUCUUCUAUCCAGAAUGCCUUUAGUGGCGUAGCUUUAGCUUCACCUGGUUCAUAUUCUGUAAAUAAUCUCCUAUUAGGCACUUUUUGCUAUCCGCUUAUUAAUCAAUUAUCAGAAUAAUCAUUAGUUGCAGCCCUGGUCCACAUGAUUCAGUCUAAAGUGAGAAACUACCCUGACCUCUUCAUCUUCUCAUAUAUUCCAACAGAAACAUGACUUCUUUACAUCCAGCAGUCGGUUGAAGAGGUCAGAUUCAGCUCUAUUCCAACCAAAUUGGGUCAGAACCACAAAGCUCUGGUGCAUAACAGAACUGACUUCCGAGCAUAUUCAGCUGAGCUUUCUGUCUCGUCAGACUAAAUGUGAAGAGGACAACUGUUUGCUGUGGUCCACCAGGAUCAUUACCCAGAGGUCAGCCUGAUUCUUCAUGUUGGAGCCGAAAGCUUCAGGUUUCCAAGGAAAACAUCUUUUCUUUGCAGAAAAAUAUUCACUUCAGCCCAAAGACACAGCAGUUUCUACCAUGGCCCGUUCACAUGCAUUAAAGAAACAAAAAAAUACAUUUUCUGUUUUAAACAGCUGCUAUGUUUAGGUUUCCAGGUUUACCAGGUGUACCUGAACACACCGAGGUCUACUUUCUACAGCUGGAGCUUUUCAAAGGGAUGCAGAUUUACAAAUGAGGUUUGGGCAAUUUGACGAUAUUAGAAUGAGUCGACAAUCUGUUAAAACACAUUGAUUAAUAAUUCAUGUUCAGCUUUAAUAUUUAGUUAAUAUUACCAUUUUAGAAUGACUUUGCAAUAAAAAGUUUUCUGAUUGUCCAUCAAACACGGCGUCUCAGAUGCUUCGCUCCAGAUGAAGGUAGAGAUAGUAACUUCAUCCAGCAGUCAGCGCCAAGCGCUAACUGUAGCUAAAUUCUAGAUGGUAGAAGUGUGCAGGAAAGGCCUGCAUGAGUAGCACCUAGCAGCUAACACAAAGCAGGUUAGCUUUAGCAGGAUAUGUGAAAUCUGCAGAAUGGUCUGGUUUAUCUUGUUUAACUGGUUACCACUUUGGAUUAUCAGCACUGUAGCUAAGGUUCUGCUAAACCUCUACACAGCAAAGGUAAUGACGUUUUCAGUUUUUCAGCAUCAACACAGAUGAUAAACUGACACAAUGCUUCCUUAGACCUUCAGAAUAAGAGCCUCUCUGGACUUUAAUCGUACUUUGUCUAAAUCUAAAUACAACUUCUCUCAUAAAGCCACAGUGUAAAAGUUGAGUGUCCUGUGUGUUAAACUACAGACUGAUACACAGGAUAUUCUCAGUGAUUAAAUUUGUAUUAUUAAUACUCAUGGUAAUAACAUGCAUAAUAAAUCAUGUUAUUAUUGUGUAGCAAUGAAGCUCUUUUUCCAAGUGUUGCUGAUGUUUACAUUUUAAAUUUAAAUUAAUUUUUCAGUUAAGUACAAGACUCUGGGACAAAGUGUACUGAAAAUACUCUUUAGCAUAAAUGCUUCUUUAAACUAUAUUUUCAGAUAGUAAAAUAUUGUUAAAUCCAUGAUUGUACUGUAAAAAUCAUCAUAUUUUCCACCCUACAAUAAAUCCAGAUUCCUACUUUGAAAUGCCAGAACAGAAACACUGUUCUAAUUUAACGGUGACUGCUUUAUGAAAGACUGGUUGAUGAGUGAGAAGAAACGGUGAAGGUCCAACUCAGCCCAGAAGGUCUGCUCAACACUAGGGAAAAAAAUCUACUAUUUAAAUUAAAGUUUAAAAUUAUGAUUCUUUCAUAUGAUUACUGGCCGAGUUUGGCAACACAACAUGUGUUCCAUUUAAAGAACAAAAUAACAAGCAUAAUCUGAAAAAAAUGUUAAUUUCAGGAGAUUUUUUCUAAUUGUUUAGCUCGACAAAGAAAUUAUCUCACAAAUUAGUGUAACUGCACAUCCCCUAGUUUCCAAGGAAACAGGUUAUCAAAGACAUCCGCCAGAAAUGACUAACCAGCCCCUCAACCUUUAUAUUCCAGUGAAAGAUAGAUGAGGACACAAUGAAGAGGAGGCUUCAGGCACUUUCCUUCAACAUCUGAAGAAAGCCAUCACAGGACGGAGACACAGACAACAGGAAACUGCUUCAGUGCACCUUCCUCAGCAUAAUGACAAAAAUCAUGUGGGACGCUUUAUUUUUUAUUGUAAGAGGCGUCUCCACAUCUGACGGCAGACUGAAGCAAAUCAAUGAGACGGACAUGAGAGUCCUGACUGCUGCUCUCUAGAGUUUCUCAUGCCAGCUGCUGUGUUCUGACCUGACUGUGGACCACAUGUUGUGUGGUGGUUUUCAUUGGUGUUAUCCUUCCACCAACUUUACAGACUGAACUGCAAGAUGCCUGUAAUACAGCAGGAGGAAAACCAGCUGGAAAUUCAUCUUUGGGCUUCGAGCUGAGAAGAUUUC
Girardinichthys multiradiatus is the source of this 2682-nucleotide long non-coding RNA. RefSeq lists it as uncharacterized. The transcript is spliced from 2 exons. Lineage: Eukaryota; Metazoa; Chordata; Actinopteri; Cyprinodontiformes; Goodeidae. The record is from RefSeq and is a predicted model, not a curated record.